UUACCUGGUCCGGACAUCGAUAGGAUAGACAGACUGAUAGAUCUUUCUUGAUGCGAUGAGUGGUGGUGCAUGGCCGUUCUUAGUUCGUGGAGUGAUCUGUCAGGUUAAUUCCGGUAACGAACGAGACCACAUUCUCCAUUUAAGACAUGGAAGUAGGGAGCCGGAAAGGUUGUGCUUCGGUGUAACCCUUUUGGUUCUUGUUGGUAGAUAAAAUUUUUCUGGUAGUUUAGCAAAGGGAGCAAUCUUGAUGCGAAGGCUGCCAGGGAGGUUUUAUUUCCCUUUCAUUUAGCAGUGUCUGGUCUCGGCUGGGCGCUGUCUUAUGGAGAGACAACGAGGUAUAUAUAAGCUCGAGGAAGAGUGGCUAUAACAGGUCAGUGAUGCCCUUCGAUGUUCAGGGCUGCACGCGCGCUACAAU
This 415-nucleotide ribosomal RNA is filed under the name uncultured metazoan. Its description in RNAcentral is "SSU rRNA". It matches the Rfam family "Eukaryotic small subunit ribosomal RNA", at positions 1215 to 1504 of the family's 1831-position model. Lineage: Eukaryota; Metazoa. The record is from RNAcentral.